This 468-nucleotide ribosomal RNA is filed under the name uncultured bacterium. RNAcentral describes it as "bacterial SSU rRNA". It matches the Rfam family "Bacterial small subunit ribosomal RNA", at positions 355 to 822 of the family's 1533-position model. The record is from RNAcentral.
UGGGGAAUUGUUCGCAAUGGGCGCAAGCCUGACGACGCAACGCCGCGUGGAGGAUGAAGAUCUUCGGGUCGUAAAGCUCUGUGGGGAGGGACGAAUAAGUAUUGGCUAACAUCCAAUAUGAUGACGGUACCUCCUUAGCAAGCACCGGCUAACUCUGUGCCAGCAGCCGCGGUAAGACAGAGGGUGCAAACGUUGUUCGGAAUUACUGGGCGUAAAGCGCGUGUAGGCGGCGUAGCAAGUCGGGCGUGAAAGCCCACGGCUCAACCGUGGAAGAGCACUCGAAACUGCUGCGCUAGAGUUCUGGAGAGGAAGGCGGAAUGCUUGGUGUAGAGGUGAAAUUCGUAGAUAUCAAGCGGAACACCGGUGGCGAAGGCGGCCUUCUGGACAGUGACUGACGCUGAAACGCGAAAGCGUGGGGAGCAAACAGGAUUAGAUACCCAAGUAGUCCCUGAGCGGGCUGGCAAGGCG